UGUGAUCUGGGAGUAAGCAUUAUUAGAUUAUUUUAAUAAAGCAGUUCAAAGAGGAAAAUAUGCUUAAACAAACAUUUGAAAAAUUAGAAGUUCGAAAUGGGAGUAGGGGUGCAGACAAUGAGAUGAGCAAUGAGGGGGGAGAAGGGUAUUCCAGGCGGAUGGAACAACAGAUACAAAGACACAGAGCAAGGGUCAACAAACUACAGCUCCUGGCUCAAACCCAGCCCUUGACUAUUUUUGUAAGCGAAGUUUCAUUGGAACACAGCCAUAUCCACUUGUUUACUCGUCAUCUACUAUUGUUUCGAACCUCUGGCAUAGAGGCACCAGAAGCACAGUAAAGAGAAUGAGAGGUAGCAAACUACUGCUACCCAGUUUGCAGUGAACUGUUCAUGUGGAAGAGGGACAGUAAAUAAAGCCAGUUAGCAGGAGCCAGGUGAUGAAGGGCCUCACAGGCCAUGAAAAGGGUUUACAUAGGGAGCAGGUGUUAGGUAAUUGGAUGCACCGCAGAGGACAGAGUGGAUAGGGGAGAGACUGGAGGCUGAGAGGCCAGUUAAGAGGCAAGGGAAAUAGAAGAUGGGAGUUUGGUUCCCACGGUGAUUUAAAUAAAGGGGAGGGGGUACAAUUUCAAAAAAAUUUUCAGAGACAGAUUAUGCUAACUUUGUGAAUAUUUUGAUUCAAAUGAGUACAAAGAAGAGCAAGAACAGACCAUGGCUCCCCGGCCUCUGAAUGGGAUGAACUGGUCCAUGAUGGUGCCAUCCUCCAAGACUGAGAUUCCAGAGGAAGAGUUAUGAGAAAGGGGAAGGAUAUAAUUUCGGUCAUGGACACUUUGAAGUUGAGACGACACUGAGACAUCCAAAUGGGGAAAUAUUGAUCUGCACAAAUAGGCAGUGUGGAUUGAGUAAACAGUUUAUCAAAGAAUAAUCAAAACCCUGAUUGUGGUUAGCCUGCUUAAGGAAAGCACAGAUGGUGAUACAUACAGUGAAGAGAUGGGAUGGUGGGAGGGGUGAUGCAAUAAUUGAUCCAUUAGGGAACAACAGCCAGGCGUUGGGAGGAUGAGAAGAUUUUGCCAAUAGUUUGUAAUGGUGAUCAAACAUGGCAAGAACAACUGGUAUCUCAGGAAUCACAUAAAUUUCAAUCCUUAUGUGAUAUAGACAGGAGGCCCAGGUGGUGAAGGGCAAUGAAAGAAGCUGAGAAGACCAGGCAUGUGAGUAUGUGUAAGUAUGUGCAAGAGCCGUGGCCUAUCCCCAUUCAUUCAUUCACGAAGCUGAGAGGAGGAGGAAGUGCUGCUGUAUCUUUGGCACACAGUUUCAGCUGAUGACAACCAGUUUGAAGACCCCCAAAAGAAGAACCAAACUGCAUGAGAAUUCAGUUUCUUCAUCUCCCUACCCCAUGAUUUCACCUUGUUCUCUCUGACCAAUAACCAUCUCCCCACUUUGGCCCUCUCCAAAACCCUUAAAAAUUCUAAGCCCAAACUCCCCAGGGAGACAGAUUUGAGGUUUCCUCCCAUCUCCUCAUUCAAUGGCUCUGCAAUUAAACCUGUUUCUCUGCCGCAGCCUGGUAUCUCAGCAUAUUGACUUGCCACGUGCAUCAAGCAACAAACCUUUUACUGUUAUACUACUCAAAAUAUGCCUCUUUGGAAUGAGGACUAUUUUGAGCUGGUUAUUUAGAGAAACUGCAGACACACACAAAAAAACUCUGAAAUGAAGAGUAGAAGUUACCCUAUUGUAAGAGAAAUUUACAACUAUAAAGGAAAUCUCCAUUUAUAAGGGUGUUUCCCUCUCUCCAUCAGGAAGAGAAGGAUGACUAAAUCACUAGAAAAACCCAUCAAUGGAAAAAGCAUCAGUUUAAAUCUCCAUAACAAAUCUUACUCUUGUUUACAGUGUUUUUUCCUGGCCACCUACCUAUAACUGGGACUUUCCCCCAAACUCUUCUUACUUUGUUUCAAGGGAUGAUCAUAUUUAAGCCUGAAAAGUAAUACAACUCUUCGAGAUCUACUCUUUAUAGUUACUCUUGGAGAAUUUAUUCUUUGAGAUUUUCCUAUGUAUCUCCCAUGUAUAUAGGGUAUACAUGUUAUUAAA
RNAcentral lists this long non-coding RNA (2078 nucleotides) under Homo sapiens (human). RNAcentral describes it as "HSALNT0369992". The record is from RNAcentral. Lineage: Eukaryota; Metazoa; Chordata; Mammalia; Primates; Hominidae.